CUGCCAGAUGUGGAUGGAGAGCUCUGUGUGUCCACAGGACAGGUAGAAAACAGGCAGUAGCAAUGCUGGCCUGCCCACACUGCCCUCUCCAUGGUCUUCACCCCAAGCAGCCACCUCUGAGGAUGAGAGUUUAGCUUAGAAUCUGGCCUCUUGCUGAACCUGCCAAGA
RNAcentral lists this small RNA (168 nucleotides) under Junco hyemalis (dark-eyed junco). Its description in RNAcentral is "TUC338 (ENSJHYG00000017871.1)". The record is from RNAcentral. Lineage: Eukaryota; Metazoa; Chordata; Aves; Passeriformes; Passerellidae.